This 484-nucleotide long non-coding RNA is filed under the name Salvia miltiorrhiza (redroot sage). Its description in RNAcentral is "long non-coding RNA (SMIL_LNC003411)". The record is from RNAcentral. Lineage: Eukaryota; Viridiplantae; Streptophyta; Magnoliopsida; Lamiales; Lamiaceae.
AGAGAGAGAGAGAAAACCGAAGGGAGCGGCUCCAACAGAGAGAAAGAAAGAGAACAGAGAUGGGGAGGAAUUGAGGUAGAGAGAGAAGAGCUCUCAGCCGAAUUUGGAAGGAAAAGGGGGAAGAGAAUUGGGUGUUGGGCCAUUACUUUGGGCUCGAUUUUUUUUAAUAUUUGGGCUUUCCAUUUAUUUAGAUUGGGCUUCCUCUUUUAAUUGACUUUGGGCUUGUCCACUUUUAACUGUUGUGGACCGAAUUAUUUUAAGUUGGGCUCGAUUAAUUUAAAAAAAAAUUGGGCUUAUUUUUUUUAAUUGGGCUUAUUUAUGUAAUUCUUUGGGCCUUGUUGAUUUAUUUUUAGUGGGCUUGAGUUGGGCUGGCUUAUUUAUUAAUAUUGGGCUUCUGAUCUUAUUUAAAUGGCCGAUUUUAAUUACUGAUUGGGCCUCCGAUUUUAUUUAUAUGGGCUUUGAUUUAAUUGUUGUUUUGAUUUGU